CCUACGGGUGGCAGCAGUGGGGAAUAUUGCACAAUGGGGGAAACCCUGAUGCAGCGACGCCGCGUGAGUGAAGAAGUAAUUCGUUACGUAAAGCUCUAUCAGCAGGGAAGAAACACUGACCUUACGGUCAGCAGACGGUACCUGAGUAAGAAGACCCGGCUAACUACGUGCCAGCAGCCGCGGUAAUACGUAGGGGGCAAGCGUUAUCCGGAUUUACUGGGUGUAAAGGGGGCGUAGACGGUGCGCCAAGUCGGGCGUGAAAUGCCGCAGCGUAAAUGCGGACCUGCGGUGGAAACUGGCGAACUAGAGUGCGGGGGGGGUAUGCGGAAUGCGUGGUGUAGCGGUGAAAUGCGUAGAUAUUGGGAGGAACACCGGUGGCGAAGGCGGCUUACUGGACCGUAACUGACGUUGAGGCUCGAAAGCGUGGGGAGCAAACAGGAUUAGAUACCCGGGUAGUC
This 458-nucleotide ribosomal RNA is filed under the name uncultured bacterium. RNAcentral's name for it is "partial 16S ribosomal RNA". It matches the Rfam family "Bacterial small subunit ribosomal RNA", at positions 338 to 795 of the family's 1533-position model. The record is from RNAcentral.